CUACGGGAGGCAGCAGUGGGGAAUAUUGGACAAUGGGCGAAAGCCUGAUCCAGCAAUGCCGCGUGAGUGAUGAAGGCCUUAGGGUUGUAAAGCUCUUUUACCUCAGGGAUGAUAAUGACCAGUACCCCUGGAGAAUAAGCUCCG
Molecule: ribosomal RNA, 144 nt
Filed under: uncultured Erythrobacter sp.
Lineage: Bacteria; Pseudomonadati; Pseudomonadota; Alphaproteobacteria; Sphingomonadales; Erythrobacteraceae
Description: partial 16S ribosomal RNA
Rfam family: Bacterial small subunit ribosomal RNA
Source: RNAcentral